RNAcentral lists this ribosomal RNA (506 nucleotides) under uncultured bacterium. RNAcentral's name for it is "partial 16S ribosomal RNA". It matches the Rfam family "Bacterial small subunit ribosomal RNA", at positions 899 to 1397 of the family's 1533-position model. The record is from RNAcentral.
ACUCAAAUGAAUUGACGGGGGCUCACACAAGCGGUGGAGCAUGUGGCUCAAUUCGAAGCAACGCGAAGAACCUUAUCCUGGGCUUGACAUGUACGGAUUAGUCCGCUGAAAGGCGGAUGACACUCUUGUAGUGGAACGUACACAGGUGCUGCAUGGCUGUCGUCAGCUCGUGCUGUGAAGUGUCGCGUUAAGUCGCUUAACGAGCGAAACCCCUAUCACUAGUUGCCAACGGGUCAUGCCGGGGACUCUAGUGAGACUGCCGGUGUUAAACCGGAGGAAGGUGGGGAUGACGUCAAGUCCUCAUGGCCUUUAUGCCCAGGGCUGCACACGUGCUACAAUGGUGCGAACAGAACGAUGCAAGACCGCAAGGUGGAGCAAAUCGCUUAAAUCGCACCCCAGUUCGGAUUGAGGGCUGCAACCCGCCCUCAUGAAGUCGGAAUCGCUAGUAAUCGCGGAUCAGCUACGCCGCGGUGAAUAUGUUCCUGAGCCUUGUACACACCGCCCGU